Molecule: long non-coding RNA, 727 nt
Organism: Exaiptasia diaphana
Lineage: Eukaryota; Metazoa; Cnidaria; Anthozoa; Actiniaria; Aiptasiidae
Exons: 5
Source: RefSeq, a predicted model, not a curated record
UGUACGCUGAAGCUUCAGACCCAGCGCAGCCAAAUGACGUAGCAAAGCUUGAAAGCAAGGUGUUCUCUGCUCCUGGUGGACAGUGUACUCUGCAGUUUGCUUACAGUAUGUACGGGGAAGAUAAUAUAUACGUGGGGGAACAUAUGGGAGCUUUGAAUGUCUAUAUUAUUGACGUAAAAACUGGACAAAAGUCCAAUAUAUUUUCAAAGUCUGGUAACCAAGGACCACAGUGGAUUAUAGGUCAUGCACCUUUUACAAGCAAACAUGAUUACAAGAUUUCGUUUGAAGCUACUCGUGGCAAAGAAUUUAGAAGUGACAUAGCAUUGGACAAUAUCGUGUUUAAAGGUGAUGGAUGUCAUAUGAAAAAAGACAACUAUAAGAAGUUGGGAUGCUUCAAGGACAAGAUGGACGUCAAUGGCAGACCUUUUCCAAAACUUUAUCGUAAACUACAGGGGUAAAAUUGACUGGAAUGACCUGAAGACGUCUGUCAUCGACAAGUGUGCUAAAAAGACCAAGGAACUUGGAUACAAAUAUUUUGGAAUCGAGUUUUAUGGCGAAUGUUGGAGUGGCGAUGAUCAUGYAGUGAGUUAUGGCAAAGACGGCUCGUCGGACACUUGCAUUAACGGUGUUGGCAGAGAAAAGUCUCUUAUGGYCUACGAAGUACUUGAAAACUCAGAGGYAGCAUAAAAUUAAUGGCAAUUCAUCGAAUGGAUUGAUAAUAAAUGUG